RNAcentral lists this ribosomal RNA (393 nucleotides) under uncultured bacterium. RNAcentral's name for it is "partial 16S ribosomal RNA". It matches the Rfam family "Bacterial small subunit ribosomal RNA", at positions 523 to 918 of the family's 1533-position model. The record is from RNAcentral.
AUACGGAGGAUCCGAGCGUUAUCCGGAUUUAUUGGGUUUAAAGGGAGCGUAGGCGGGAGAUCACGUCAGCUGUGAGCUGUAGAUGCUCAACAUCUGCACUGCAGUUGAAACUGGUUUUCUUGAGUGCGUAAGGGGCCGGCGGAAUUCGUCGUGUAGCGGGGAAAUGCUUAGACAUGACGAAGAACUCCGAUCGGGAAGGCAGCCUGCCGGGCCGCGACUGACGCUGAAGCUCGAAGGUGCGGGUAUCGAACAGGAUUAGAUACCCUGGUAGUCCGCACAGUAAACGAUGGAUACUCGCUGUCGGCGAUAUACGGUCGGUGGCCAAGCGAAAGCGUUAAGUAUCCCACCUGGGGAGUACGCCGGCAACGGUGAAACUCAAAUGAAUUGACGGGG